GACGAACGCCGGCGGCGUGCUUCAUACAUGCAAGUCGAACGAGAAGUUACCUUCGGGUAAUGGAAAGUGGCGGACGGGUGAGUAAUAUGUAGAGAAUCUGCCCUUGAGAGGGGGACAACAGAGGGAAACUUCUGCUAAUACCCCAUAUGAGCGUAGCUGAAAUGCUAUUCUUGAAACUCCGGUGCUCAAGGAUGAGUCUGCAUCUGAUUAGCUAGUUGGUGGUGUAAUGGACUACCAAGGCGACGAUCAGUAGCUGGUUUGAGAGGAUGAUCAGCCACAAUGGGACUGAGACACGGCCCAU
Molecule: ribosomal RNA, 301 nt
Filed under: uncultured bacterium
Lineage: Bacteria
Description: bacterial SSU rRNA
Rfam family: Bacterial small subunit ribosomal RNA
Source: RNAcentral